GCAAAAGCCUCUGGAUCAUCAGCUAGGCCCAAUGGAUCGAAGCUUCCACCGGGGUAGAGCGGGUCGGUGACCUCCCCGAGCGGUCCACCAGCAAUGCGGUAGCCCUCAACAGCACCCAUCAAGAUAACUUGGCAAGCCCAGAUGGCCAGAAUGCUUUGGGCAUGGAUCAAGCUAGGGUUGCCCAAGUAGUCAAGCCCACCCUCACUGAAGAUUUGGGCACCGGC
This 224-nucleotide unclassified non-coding RNA is filed under the name Hevea brasiliensis (rubber tree). Lineage: Eukaryota; Viridiplantae; Streptophyta; Magnoliopsida; Malpighiales; Euphorbiaceae. The record is from RNAcentral.